Non-coding RNA from Acanthosepion pharaonis, 99 nucleotides. The record is from the annotation of a GenBank genome assembly. Lineage: Eukaryota; Metazoa; Mollusca; Cephalopoda; Sepiida; Sepiidae.
GCCAAAAACACCAGUUCUCAUUCAAUCACCAAAGUUAAGCAGCACUGAUGUUAGUCAGUAUUUAGAUGAGGGACCAUUUGGGAACACCAGGUAUUGCAA